This 221-nucleotide ribosomal RNA is filed under the name uncultured bacterium. RNAcentral describes it as "partial 16S ribosomal RNA". It matches the Rfam family "Bacterial small subunit ribosomal RNA", at positions 524 to 744 of the family's 1533-position model. The record is from RNAcentral.
UACAGAGGGGGCAAGCGUUGUUCGGAAUUACUGGGCGUAAAGGGCGCGUAGGCGGCCCGCUAAGUCGAACGUGAAAUCCCCGAGCUCAACUCGGGAACUGCGUCCGAUACUGGCGGGCUUGAAUCCGGGAGAGGGAUGCGGAAUUCCAGGUGUAGCGGUGAAAUGCGUAGAUAUCUGGAGGAACACCGGUGGCGAAGGCGGCAUCCUGGACCGGCAUUGAC